Erythranthe guttata (spotted monkey flower) is the source of this 933-nucleotide non-coding RNA. NCBI's taxonomy places the organism in Eukaryota, Viridiplantae, Streptophyta, Magnoliopsida, Lamiales, Phrymaceae. The record is from RefSeq and is a predicted model, not a curated record.
UAGGGAAAGAAAACCUGCUGCCGCACCUGUUUUCGGAGCAGAAUUUGGAGGGUUUGGAGUGCGAAUUUGGGAAUCAUUCCUUGACGAAACUCGUAGAGGACCUCGAAAACUAUUGGUAUCGACCGUACUAAAGCUCUCACUCAAGGCUUGAGCAUGGCUUGAGUGUAAGGAUAUUUAUUUAUAGCACCUUGCACUGGACUUCAGGUGAGGAUCCCUAUCCCUUGCCUAUUCUUUCUGGGAAACAGGAUAUAUGCCGAGCAAUCGUAUCGUUCGGUUUAUUAUUGUUAUUACUCGUUUUUUAAAUUCAAUAUAUAUUUAUUGUCGCCUAUCUUGUGAACUAAUUUGAUUUCCGAGAAUUGUUGAUUCUUGAGCUAUUGCAAUCUUUGAUCGAUUCGAAAUCCUUUUUCCUGGAACUUAAUAAGUUCUCAUCUUGAUUCGGGAAUUAUUCCAAUAAUUUAUUUUCUCGAUUCCUUGACUACUCAAUUGAGUUCAUUUAUCGACCUUGAAUAAUUCAACGAGUUUCAAUCUGAUUCUCUAUCAAUUUUAAGUCGUUUCACAUGUAUACUAGUUGGAACCACUUCUAUUAUGAUUCAUUAAAUCAUUUGAUUUGUUUCUACAGGGGUUCAAUGAAUGUAAAUCGUUCAAUGACUGGACGAGGUGGGGUUCAAUGAAUGUAAAUCGUUCAAUGACUGGACGAGGUUGGACUUUUUGAUGAAGUGAAAGAACGUUAUCGUGGAAGUCAUAUUUGUUGUCGCUUAACAAUUUAUGAAGUGGAAUUUAUUAUGGAAUAAUUAUAGUAAUCUUUCUUAUUAUUUGGAAUGAUUGAUUUAUUAUUGAAUUUUUGUAUGAUAGAUUGAAAUUAUAAUAUUCACAUUUGAUUGAUAAUAUGUAAAUUUGCAAUCUUUAGUUUUAUUUUAAUUUUUUUUACAGCCA